UACGUAGGGGGCAGGCGUUUGUCCGGAUUUAUUGGGCGUAAAGAGCGUGUAGGCGGCCAUACAGGUCAGCUGUGAAAACUCGAGGCUCAACCUCGAGACGUCGGUUGAAACCGUAUGGCUAGAGUCCGGAAGAGGAGAGUGGAAUUCCCGGUGUAGCGGUGAAAUGCGCAGAUAUCGGGAAGAACACCCGUGGCGAAGGCGGCUCUCUGGGACGGUACUGACGCUGAGACGCGAAAGCGUGGGGAGCGAACAGG
This 254-nucleotide ribosomal RNA is filed under the name uncultured bacterium. RNAcentral describes it as "partial 16S ribosomal RNA". It matches the Rfam family "Bacterial small subunit ribosomal RNA", at positions 524 to 776 of the family's 1533-position model. The record is from RNAcentral.